This 245-nucleotide ribosomal RNA is filed under the name uncultured Parachlamydia sp. RNAcentral describes it as "partial 16S ribosomal RNA". It matches the Rfam family "Bacterial small subunit ribosomal RNA", at positions 524 to 768 of the family's 1533-position model. The record is from RNAcentral. Lineage: Bacteria; Pseudomonadati; Chlamydiota; Chlamydiia; Parachlamydiales; Parachlamydiaceae.
UACGUAGGGUGCAAGCAUUAAUCGGAUUUAUUGGGCGUAAAGGGCGCGUAGGCGGGGAUUUAAGUCAGAUGUGAAAUCCUGGAGCUCAACUCCAGAACAGCAUUUGAAACUGGAUUUCUAGAGGGUAGGCGGAGAAAACGGAAUUCCACAAGUAGCGGUGAAAUGCGUAGAUAUGUGGAAGAACACCAGUGGCGAAGGCGGUUUUCUAGCUUACACCUGACGCUGAUGCGCGAAAGCAAGGGGAG